GCCAGAUAUUGAUGGCCUGUUAGGAUUUAGGGACAAUUUCUUGUUGCUUUUGGGAUGUUCCCAAGUUUAAUUCCACAAAAUGUUCCCGGCGAUCUGUAAAAGCACAUUGGAUUGCAGCAGUAGAAGAAUCAGAUUUAGCAUCAAACUACCGUUGAGUUAUAGGAUUCUUACAAGUCAUUUUUUAGUUUGUUUAAUAUGUUAUAGUAAUUAGGGUGCUAAAUACAAGAGUGUCUUUUGGGAAAUAUUACUUUGAUCGAAUUGGGGUCACAGAUUAAUUAUGAUUAUGUACGAUAUACCGAAAGCCAUUUCUUAAAACAAAAAUGACCUAACUGUUAGAGUCAUGCCUAGAGAUCCCUGUUUUAUGAUAAGCGCCUUAGCAUAUAAUUUUGUCCAUAUGUCGAAGUAAACUCUUCUUUUCAAUGAAAAAAAGCUACUUGACAUUAUACUUAUUUUAUUACUGAUUUAAUUGUAGCAGAUGGAAAAAAAAAAUCUAGGCU
This 497-nucleotide unclassified non-coding RNA is filed under the name Hevea brasiliensis (rubber tree). The record is from RNAcentral. Lineage: Eukaryota; Viridiplantae; Streptophyta; Magnoliopsida; Malpighiales; Euphorbiaceae.